This 997-nucleotide unclassified non-coding RNA is filed under the name Hevea brasiliensis (rubber tree). Lineage: Eukaryota; Viridiplantae; Streptophyta; Magnoliopsida; Malpighiales; Euphorbiaceae. The record is from RNAcentral.
UUCCCUUUCUAAUCAUUUUUUCUUUUCCCUUCCUUCCUAUUUGUCUCCAUAAAUAUUGAAAAAGGCAUUUCCACUGCCAUUUUUCUACUGUCCCUUUUCAUUUUGGGUCAUCCUUUGCAUGGUUAAUAAAGGGAAUGAUUAUUUGAUUUUUCAUUUUUAUUGAUACUGACACUUGAAUCAACUUCCCAAUUUUUGUUGCUUCUUCUUCAUGAAUUGAUGCGUCCCAAUCAAUUAGCAAAUGAGGUAUUGGAUGUUAUAUAUAUAUAGGUUUAUAAUCCUUCCCCUACAAGUUGAAGGUAAAAUUAAAUAAGUUCAUAUUAUUUGAUAUCAUAGUCUCACCUUAUCUAAUUGGUAGAUCAUUAUCCUAAUUUUUUAUUCGAGAACGUACAGUUUAAAAAGAUCAAAGAUGAUACGUCUCAAUCAAUUAGUAAAUAAAGUCUUAAGUAUUAUAUAUAUGGAUUUAUAACCUUCUCCUUACAAACUGAUUUUUAAGGUAAAAUCAGUUCAUAGACUGAUUUCCAAUUUUAUUAAAAUAAUGACUUUAAAAAAGUCAAUUAAGCUAUUUAUUGGAGUACAUAUCCAGCUAGUGCCACUAGUAUACUACACAACAUAAAUUUCUGAGCUAAUAAAAUAUUUUCAAAUUGAAAAAUGGAUAUAAAAUCAGGUUAAUUAAGUCUGUAAAUUUGUAUCGCCCUAUAAGAACAAAAGGCAAAUAAUAAAAUUCAGAAACACAGACUCCUCAUUAAGGAGUAGAAGUUACACAAGAAACCAACAAAUGGCCUUGGGGGGGCAUGCAUUUAUCAAAGGCAACAUGAAAUGGGUAUUUGUGUGUGGCAAAGCUAGAAAUGAGCUAAACAGCAGGCAGUAAAUGCAAACGUGCAUGUAGUAAAUACCCAAGCAUGCUAAGAUUAAAUGCUUCAAUAUGGGUUCCACAUGCAACUUUCUAUAUAAUAUUGUUAAAUUUUUCAUAAGAUAUCAAAGAACCCUUACAUUGAAU